AUGGUAGAACAAAAGAUUAACAUCAUGAGUUGGAAUGUCAGGGGGUUAAACUGCCCUGACAGACGUGCUACGGUCCAUGAAACAAUUUCCGCUUCUUCUUGCCACAUUGUUUGUCUUCAGGAAACGAAAAUGGCAUGUAUUGAUCAAUUCCUUGCUUGCUAUCUCGGCGGCAACCGGCUCCGUAGCUUUGCUCAAAGGCCCGCCAAUGGCACUCGCGGUGGCUUAGUCAUGCUCUGGGAUGACUCUGUUGUUGAGGUUUCAAAUGUGAGGACAUCCGAAUUUUGUCUCUCCGCCAACGUAAACAUCCGCAACUCUGAUUCGCAAUUUUUGAUCACAUCC
RNAcentral lists this ribosomal RNA (339 nucleotides) under Triticum aestivum (bread wheat). RNAcentral describes it as "partial small subunit ribosomal RNA". Lineage: Eukaryota; Viridiplantae; Streptophyta; Magnoliopsida; Poales; Poaceae. The record is from RNAcentral.